UGGCGGACGGGUGAGUAACGCGUGGAAAACCUGCCGUAUACUGGGGGAUAACACUUAGAAAUAGGUGCUAAUACCGCAUAAGCGCACAGCUUCGCAUGAAGCGGUGUGAAAAACUCCGGUGGUACAGGAUGGACCCGCGUCUGAUUAGCUGGUUGGCGGGGUAACGGCCCACCAAGGCGACGAUCAGUAGCCGGCCUGAGAGGGUGAACGGCCACAUUGGGACUGAGACACGGCCCAAACUCCUACGGAAGGCAGCAG
Molecule: ribosomal RNA, 258 nt
Filed under: uncultured bacterium
Lineage: Bacteria
Description: partial 16S ribosomal RNA
Rfam family: Bacterial small subunit ribosomal RNA
Source: RNAcentral